This 506-nucleotide ribosomal RNA is filed under the name uncultured bacterium. Its description in RNAcentral is "partial 16S ribosomal RNA". It matches the Rfam family "Bacterial small subunit ribosomal RNA", at positions 29 to 523 of the family's 1533-position model. The record is from RNAcentral.
AUUGAACGCUGGCGGCAGGCCUAACACAUGCAAGUCGAACGGUAGCACAGAGGAGCUUGCUCCUUGGGUGACGAGUGGCGGACGGGUGAGUAAUGUCUGGGAAACUGCCCGAUGGAGGGGGAUACCUACUGGAAACGGUAGCUAAUACCGCAUAACGCCUUCGGACCAAAGUGGGGGACCUUCGGGCCUCACACCAUCGGAUGUGCCCAGAUGGGAUUAGCUAGUAGGUGGGGUAAUGGCUCACCUAGGCGACGAUCCCUAGCUGGUCUGAGAGGAUGACCAGACACACUGGAGGUGAGACACAGGCCAGGCUCCUACGGGAAGCAGCCGUGCGGGAUAUUGCAGAAUGGGCGCAAGCGUAGUGCAGCCAUGCCGCGUGUAUGAAGAAGGGCUUCGGGGUAUAUAGUACUUUCAUCGGGGAGGGAGGAAUCAAGGUUAAUAGCCGUGGCGAUUGGCAUUACCCGCGGAAGAAGCACCGGCUAACUCCGUGCCAGCCGCCGCGGUAA